UAGGGAAUCUUCCACAAUGGACGCAAGUCUGAUGGAGCAACGCCGCGUGAGUGAAGAAGGUCUUCGGAUCGUAAAGCUCUGUUGUUGGUGAAGAAGGAUAGAGGCAGUAACUGGUCUUUAUUUGACGGUAAUCAACCAGAAAGUCACGGCUAACUACGUGCCAGCAGCCGCGGUAAUACGUAGGUGGCAAGCGUUGUCCGGAUUUAUUGGGCGUAAAGCGAGCGCAGGCGGAAUGAUAAGUCUGAUGUGAAAGCCCACGGCUCAACCGUGGAACUGCAUCGGAAACUGUCAUUCUUGAGUGCAGAAGAGGAGAGUGGAACUCCAUGUGUAGCGGUGGAAUGCGUAGAUAUAUGGAAGAACACCAGUGGCGGAGGCGGCUCUCUGGUCUGCAACUGACGCUGAGGCUCGAAAGCAUGGGUAGCGAACAGGAUUAGAUACCCUGGUAGUCCAUGCCGUAAACGAUGAGCGCUAGGUGUUGGGG
RNAcentral lists this ribosomal RNA (481 nucleotides) under uncultured bacterium. RNAcentral describes it as "partial 16S ribosomal RNA". It matches the Rfam family "Bacterial small subunit ribosomal RNA", at positions 355 to 828 of the family's 1533-position model. The record is from RNAcentral.